RNAcentral lists this ribosomal RNA (481 nucleotides) under uncultured bacterium. Its description in RNAcentral is "partial 16S ribosomal RNA". It matches the Rfam family "Bacterial small subunit ribosomal RNA", at positions 28 to 523 of the family's 1533-position model. The record is from RNAcentral.
AGUGAACGUUGGCGGCGUGGAUUAGGCAUGCAAGUCGAGCGAGAACCGUAGCAAUACGGGGACAGCGGCGAAAGGGACAGUAAUGUGUAGGUACCUACCUCCGGGUUCGGGAUAGCUGCGGGAAACUGCAGGUAAUACCGAAUAACGUCUCCAGACCAAAGGUGUGAUUCCACCUGGAGAGGGGCCUGCAUCCUAUUAGCUUGUUGGCGGGUAACGGCCCACCAAGGCGACGAUGGGUAGCGGGUGUGAGAGCACGACCCGCGUCAUUGGGACUGAGACACUGCCCAGACACCUACGGGUGGCUGCAGUCGAGGAUCUUCGGCAAUGGGCGCAAGCCUGACCGAGCGACGCCGCGUGCGGGAUGAAGGCCUUCGGGUUGUAAACCGCUGUCGUAGAGGAGGAAGUGCAGGGGGGUUCUCCCCUCUGUUUGACCUAUUCUAGGAGGAAGGACGGGCUAAGUUCGUGCCAGCCGCCGCCGUAA